RNAcentral lists this small RNA (515 nucleotides) under Pongo abelii (Sumatran orangutan). RNAcentral describes it as "processed transcript". Lineage: Eukaryota; Metazoa; Chordata; Mammalia; Primates; Hominidae. The record is from RNAcentral.
CGUGGAUGGACUUCUGAGUGGGAUCCUGGCCAUCAUCUAUGUGUCAGCUGCUUCUUUCCACUUGUCCUUUUAUUCACCUGGAGUCCCCUCCAUAUACAAGGGUCUACCCUGCCCCUAUGCUUCCUGCAUCUUGGCUUCCACCUCCCUUCUGACCAAAGGCAACAGCUUCAUCCUCUGCUGCAUGGCCUCACUCAUGAUUCUCUUCAUGAUGGACCAGAGCUACUAUCCAUAUGACAAAAUCCUGGAGUCUGAGAACUGGAAAAAAUUGGUUUAUAUAGGAGAGAGUACCCCAAAAUCAUACAUAUAUUGUAGAGAGGGGUCUCACUCUUUUGUCCAGGCUGAUCUCAAAUUCCUGGACUCAAGCAAUCCUCCUGCCUUGGCUUCCCAAAGUACUGAGAUUACAGGCAUGAGCCAAUGCGCCAGUCAUGUACUUUCCAAGACAACUCUGGUUUUCAGUAUUGUCUUUUUGCCUCAACAGUCAAUGACUAUUCUUGAAAUGCAGUAUUCCAAAAUGC